RNAcentral lists this ribosomal RNA (354 nucleotides) under uncultured Glomeromycotina. Its description in RNAcentral is "SSU rRNA". It matches the Rfam family "Eukaryotic small subunit ribosomal RNA", at positions 689 to 1046 of the family's 1831-position model. Lineage: Eukaryota; Fungi; Glomeromycota. The record is from RNAcentral.
UGAUUCCUCCUUUCUUGACGAACCGUGAUGUCAUUAAUUUGGUGUUGCGGGAAAUCAGGACUGUUACUUUGAAAAAAUUAGAGUGUUUAAAGCAGGCUAACGCUUGAAUACAUUAGCAUGGAAUAAUGAAAUAGGACGUUAAUCCUAUUUUGUUGGUUUCUAGGAUCGACGUAAUGAUUAAUAGGGAUAGUUGGGGGCAUUAGUAUUCAAUUGUCAGAGGUGAAAUUCUUGGAUUUAUUGAAGACUAACUACGGCGAAAGCAUUUGCCAAGGAUGUUUUCAUUAAUCAAGAACGAAAGUUAGGGGAUCAAAACGAUCAGAUACCGUCGUAGUCUUAACCAUAAACUAUGCCGAC